RNAcentral lists this long non-coding RNA (1407 nucleotides) under Musa acuminata (dwarf banana). RNAcentral's name for it is "long non-coding RNA (MACU_LNC002580)". Lineage: Eukaryota; Viridiplantae; Streptophyta; Magnoliopsida; Zingiberales; Musaceae. The record is from RNAcentral.
AGUUUCUUUCCAUAUUGUUUCUCUUCUCUAGUUUUAUGUAUUAGAAUCUACUUUGUAUGGAUAAUAAUAUUCCCAUGUUUUUGCCUCCCAAGCAUUUUGGGUUGUGUCUCCUAUGGCAGGGGGGGAUUUAGUAGUCUGUACAUUGUAACAUAAUUGGCAUUCUAUGAUAGCUUGUACAUGAUAUGUCCUGCAAAAAGAUCCAAUAUUUUAUUCACAUGUAGUUUUGAAGAUGAUAAUUAGCACCAUUAUAGUCUUGGUGUUUCUCUGAUCACCAUGUGAAUGAAGUGUUAUAUAAUGCAAAGAUAAAACAAAACAAAGGAUUUUAUCCAUGUAACACCUGAUUAAUUUAUAUGCUGUUAAGUGAAUGAGCUAUUAUCUGUCCUUUUUUUUUCUUUCCCUCUGUCCUUGCCUUUUCCUCAUGGUGGUGGAUGAGUAUUAUCUAGAGUAUUGAUAAAUAGCAAAUGUGAUGUCUACAGUAAAUGGGUUAUUGCAAGGGGCAAUAUCCGUCUAUGGUAACAAUUGUCCUCCCUUGGAUGGAAUGGACCAAAAUUGAUUGAAUCUGACCAUUUGUUCAAUUCUUAUCUGCUAUGAAUGACUUCUUGCAAUAGGGCAAAGGAAUUGGCCAAGAUUAGCUUCGUCUUGAAAUGGCACUGCAAACGAUUGAACUAUUCUCUUUGAAUUGGUUGAUACUAUGAAUUACAGUGUAAAGUCAGCUUUUUAUAAAUCAUUAUAUUUGUGAGUACAUUGGUUAAAGCCCAAUGGUUCCAUUCAACCUAGCUGUUACGUUGGACUGUGGUCAGGUUAACUCUAGCUGGCUAGCAGGUGGAGUUGAUCUUGGGUCGAGCAAUAUGUUUCUUAAUUCUAACUUUCAUUUUAGUUUGAUUCAACCAGUUUAAUUUUUCUUUGAAGGAAUCUAUAGAUAUUGUUUGACCUCGCCAACUCAUUUGUGGAAGUCAAGCAACCUUGGCUCCAAUCUGGGAUGGCAACAUGAAUCAAGUUGCAAACAACUCUAAUCUUAUUCUACAGCUUAACCCUGACCUAAACUGUUGCAAAGGCUGCCCAUUUCAUAUAGAAUUGCAUUUGUAUGUCAAACAUGUACAUGUCUAGCUGUAACAAUGGAUGAACAAAUUUCCAAUGACUUGUUUCUGGAAUAUUUUUCACUGCAGAUAUAAUAUACUCUUUUUUCUUAUAGACGAUAUCUGUUUACAAGCUUAAUAAACCAUGUGGAUAGUUUACAUGUGGCCAGAAAUUUUCUGCUCUCCUAUUUUUCUCUAUCGAACACUAUCGAGUAAACCAACAAUAUUUGACUUGCCAUCGAGGUUGUCAAUCUUCAUUACUUUAUCAAGUGUUUGAGAGUGAGAUUGAUAUAAAAUUUGAAAAUCUAAACCGAAUGAUGUCUACAUCUCC